CAGUAGCCGCGGGAAAACGUAGGGUGCAAGCGUUAAUCGGAAUUACUGGGCGUAAAGCGUGCGCAGGCGGUUAUAUAAGUCAGAUGUGAAAUCCCCGGGCUAACCUGGGAACUGCAUUUGAGACUGUAUGGCUAGAGUGUGUCAGAGGGGGGUAGAAUUCCACGUGUAGCAGUGAAAUGCGUAGAUAUGUGGAGGAAUACCGAUGGCGAAGGCAGCCCCCUGGGGUAACACUGACGCUCAUGCACGAAAGCGUGGGGAGCAAACAGGAUUAGAUACCCCCGUAGUCCCUGUCUCUUAUACC
Molecule: ribosomal RNA, 301 nt
Filed under: uncultured bacterium
Lineage: Bacteria
Description: partial 16S ribosomal RNA
Rfam family: Bacterial small subunit ribosomal RNA
Source: RNAcentral